UGAAGUGGAUCACCAGAGGAUGAGCAGCAUUUGGUCCUUCAUACAAAAGCAACCUGAUUUUGGUUCUUCUGGAAUCUCAAGAAACUAAUUUUCUAGUCUGGUCACCAUAACAUGGAGGAAAGAUACCACUCGCCAUAGCAGCUGCAGCUCCAGCUCCCAAGGUGCACCGUGAUGACACAGCUGCCUCUGUGUAUGGGAAGAUCCAACAGCACUGCAAAAACUGGUGCUGGGUACUCGCUCAACCUGUGUAUGUUUCCAAACCGUUUGGGUUUCAUCGUGCACAAAGACAAAGGGUGAGAACGUGAACCCAACCAAACAAGGUGGAAGCAGCUAUUAAGAACAAGAAUACGUUUUAAAAUGCUGGAUUUCACACCAGUGUCUUGUUCUGAAAAAAAAAAUAAAUUGUUACCAAUUUCUGCCAUUAUGAAUCAUAGAAUCACUGAAUGGUUUGUGCUGGAAGAUUUCUUAAAGAUCGUCUAGUUCCAUUUCCCCUGCCAUAGGCAGGGACACCUUCCACUAGACCAGGUUGCUCAAAGCUCUAUCUAGCCUGGCCUUGAACACUUCCAGGGAUGGGGCAUCCACAUCUUCUCUGGGCAACCUCUUCCAGCACCUCACUACACUCAUAGUAAAGAACUUCUUCCUCAUAUCUAUUCUAAAUUCACCCUCUUUCAGUUUGAAGCCAUUAACUUUUGUCCUAUCACUAUAAGCCCUUGUAAAAAUUUCCUCUCUGUCUUACAAGCCCCUUUUAGGUACUGGAAGGCUGCUAUACGGUCUCCCUGG
This is a long non-coding RNA of Colius striatus (speckled mousebird), 780 nucleotides long. RefSeq lists it as uncharacterized. The transcript is spliced from 3 exons. The record is from RefSeq and is a predicted model, not a curated record. Lineage: Eukaryota; Metazoa; Chordata; Aves; Coliiformes; Coliidae.